RNAcentral lists this ribosomal RNA (449 nucleotides) under uncultured bacterium. RNAcentral describes it as "partial 16S ribosomal RNA". It matches the Rfam family "Bacterial small subunit ribosomal RNA", at positions 29 to 523 of the family's 1533-position model. The record is from RNAcentral.
AACGAACGCUGGCGGCAUGCCUAACACAUGCAAGUCGAACGAUAUCUUCGGGUCUAGUGGCGCACGGGUGCGUAACGCGUGGGAAUCUGCCCUUUGGUUCGGAAUAACAGUUGGAAACGACUGCUAAUACCGGAUGAUGACGAAAGUCCAAAGAUUUAUCGCCAGAGGAUGAGCCCGCGUAGGAUUAGCUAGUUGGUGUGGGAAAGGCGCACCAAGGCGACGAUCCUUAGCUGGUCUGAGAGGAUGAUCAGCCACACUGGGACUGAGACACGGCCCAGACUCCUACGGGAGGCAGCAGUGGGGAAUAUUGGACAAUGGGCGAAAGCCUGAUCCAGCAAUGCCGCGUGAGUGAUGAAGGCCUUAGGGUUGUAAAGCUCUUUUACCCGGGAUGAUAAUGACAGUACCGGGAGAAUAAGCUCCGGCUAACUCCGUGCCAGCAGCCGCAGUAA